UGGUUGAGCUUACACCCUUCAGAAAAUUCGAAAGAAUGAGGAAAUUUUGCAAUUGGAGAUUAGAAGGAUUGUUCUAAACUAAUGGAUGAAGCAAUGUGUUCUUUUAGCGGACUUUUAUAUGUUUGCAUAUUUUUUGCUCUUCAAAAUGAAGCUUGUAAUGUAUCAGAAAUUUUUAGCGGACUUAAGUUUCAUAUAUUUCAGAUUCUCAUUGGAAAUAUAUACAGUUUUCUUGUGGAA
Long non-coding RNA from Hordeum vulgare subsp. vulgare (domesticated barley), 237 nucleotides. RefSeq lists it as uncharacterized. The record is from RefSeq and is a predicted model, not a curated record. The transcript is spliced from 2 exons. Lineage: Eukaryota; Viridiplantae; Streptophyta; Magnoliopsida; Poales; Poaceae.